GUGUAGAAAUACUGAGUGAUGAGUGUGGAUAGUUGUUAGAGAAUAAAUAGUAUUGAGCGUGACCAUAUGAGAGAUCACUUGGAUUUCUACUUGAUCAUCAGUGAUUGUCUUGAUGCUGUAGUUGUGUGAAUGAUCUUUUGAUCUGUGAUGGUACGACAACUCAUAGUGAGACUGCUGUAGUUUGUCUGACACAUAAACAUGAUCUCAGUGAGCCCUUGUAGUGGAUAUUGGUGAUAGUUGAUCCACUAUAGGAGUAGGGUAUACAUCAAGAUGGAAUCUAUCGAUCUUGAUAGAAAAGAGUAGUCCUAUGAGAUUUGAGAAGCUAAGUCUGAGAGUCUGUGGCUACAGCAAUGUGAUUGAUGAAAAAAAAUUUUUAUAAAGAUUACAAUUGGACUUGAGCUGAUCAAAUCUAUCAUAUGACUGAUGAUGAGGUUUGACAAUUUAUCCAUGAUCUGCCAUCUAGUCGGGGCUCACGAUAGAGGGACUGAAUCACACAUGAACUACACCUUAAGGUUCUUUUUUGGUUCUACUGGGUUGCCACUACAUACUGCUAGGUGUCAUUGGUAGAUUGUGAGAGCUCACUAGAGUUACUCAAGAUCGACAAUCCUUGAUGAGUUAGAGUGAAAUUAUUCCAAUCC
RNAcentral lists this long non-coding RNA (638 nucleotides) under Elaeis guineensis (African oil palm). RNAcentral's name for it is "long non-coding RNA (EGUI_LNC070813)". The record is from RNAcentral. Lineage: Eukaryota; Viridiplantae; Streptophyta; Magnoliopsida; Arecales; Arecaceae.